Long non-coding RNA from Populus euphratica (Euphrates poplar), 362 nucleotides. RefSeq lists it as uncharacterized. The record is from RefSeq and is a predicted model, not a curated record. Lineage: Eukaryota; Viridiplantae; Streptophyta; Magnoliopsida; Malpighiales; Salicaceae. The transcript has 3 exons.
UAAUAACAAAGAUACAAACAGAUCACAUAACUUUGAGGUAGUCCCACAAUUAAAAGUACAAGUUCAUUUACUUGAUUCCAUAACAAACAAAGAAAUCUAAGCAGUUUCAUGUAUACAGAAGAUGAAAACGUCCUUUCAGUUCUCCAUAAAUCCUUGGACAUUAGCUUACAAACACAGAUAAAGCCAACUGACCAUGGUAGAAGCUAUUUUACGAGUUACUGGUUUAUCCCAAAAUAGAAAUCUUUGGUUAGGUAAAUUUUUUUUGGAUGAUGGGAACACAUGAAGCUAUAUAGAAUUUAACAAGGCCUAAUUCAUUUCAUCAAAAUUCUUAAAAUGGCCAAAAAAAGGGGACAAAACUACCA